Molecule: unclassified non-coding RNA, 280 nt
Organism: Bison bison bison
Lineage: Eukaryota; Metazoa; Chordata; Mammalia; Artiodactyla; Bovidae
Gene: 7SK
Rfam family: 7SK RNA
About the family: 7SK was discovered as an abundant small nuclear RNA in the mid-70s but a possible function has only recently been suggested.
Source: Ensembl
GGUUGCCAUUCCCUUCUCCAGGGGAUCUUCCCAACCCAGGGAUCGAACCCAGGUCUCCUGCACUAUAAGCAGACGCUUUACCAUCUGAGCCACCAAGGAAGUCCAAAAAGGUUGUAGGGGCACUCGUCCCUAGAGGAGGACUGGUCUUCAGUUAAGGGUAUACGAGUAGCUGUGCUCCCCUGCUAGAACCUCCAAACAAGCUCUCAAGUUCUGAGUAAGAGGGAUAUUAAACAGUCUCAGACACACAGAAACUGCCUUGAGGAUUAAAAUGCUUGUGACU